GGCGAGAUCACACAGGUCGCACAGACCUGGCCAGGAGCUGGACUUGUGACACUACCAGGGUGGCUAUUGUGCCAGUAUCCAUAGGAACCUUGCAUCCAGAAUAUUGCCGUACCUGUGAAUAAAGUGCAGCUGCUCCAGAGACAUUGUGGAAUGGAGAAAACAGAGGCCCGACGUGGACGUUACCAAGGUGAACCUGAAGGAGACCUCUAGGAGAACAGCCGUGUAGACAGCGGAGGACAAGCCCCCAUCAGGACGUCCAUAAUUUCCCUCAAGGUCGACCAUCAGUGUGCGGCACUGGCAGAGUGUUUGAGAGCCUGGAGGUUGAAUGUAGGGGGUCCCCAGGUGCCUCCACAGGGUCCCCACUGUGCCAGGAACCACUCUAGGCACCGGAGAGAGAACUGGCUGGACCCGGGCUGCAUCCUGCGGACAGAGCUGGAGAGCCGACAGGACCUUUCGGAGUGGUUGUAGGGAAAGAGAAAGCAAAAAAUUGGAUGGACGGCAUGGAGGAGAAUGUAUGAAAUGAAUUUUGUUUUGCCCCAAAUUAGUUUCAGUUGCCUAUGAAAAUCCAAACAGGCUUCCUCUUCCAAGGGCUGUUCUGUGUUCUUGCCUUGCAGAGGUAAUACGGCAACCUCUAGUGGCCAGGCACAUGGAUAGGAUGGGAGUGACAACUCAGACAGGCUCCAAGUGUUUUCUCAAGAUAUCAAAGCAAGUAAACCCCAAUCUAAUAACUAGAGCCCACAGCUCAGGACCACUGCCUCAAAUCUUCCUGUUAAGAGGUCUUUGAGCAGUUUUUAUGCCCAACGACUAAUUCUGACAUCGAAGACCAGUUUAUCAAGGCAAGGGACAUUUUCAUUGGCAUCAUUGCACUCGAGAGAAUUCUCUUUCACUCAGUCUACUUCAACCCUUAUCAUACAUUGAGAAGCCCAUAAGCAUGUUUAAAGCGGAACAGCUUCAGAAGUCACUUGCAAACACACUUCUUAUUGAAGGUAAAAGAAAGGAAGACCUUUUGCCUGAGGACAGCCUGUACCCAGGCUGGGAAGACUGGCUUAUGCAGAAUACUUGUCAUUACAGACAUAUUUCCAUUUAAACUUCGGCCAUGUUCAUUUUGGGCAUGAUUUAUUAUGUCAGGGGAUUUUGAAUGUUAAAAGUCUACCAACCAGUUGCAAAAGCUUCCUGCCCAUAUCAAGGAACAUUAUUUCAGAGC
Phyllostomus hastatus (greater spear-nosed bat) is the source of this 1204-nucleotide long non-coding RNA. RefSeq lists it as uncharacterized. The record is from RefSeq and is a predicted model, not a curated record. The transcript has 7 exons. Lineage: Eukaryota; Metazoa; Chordata; Mammalia; Chiroptera; Phyllostomidae.